RNAcentral lists this long non-coding RNA (777 nucleotides) under Bos mutus (wild yak). Its description in RNAcentral is "lncRNA (ENSBMUG00000000571.1)". Lineage: Eukaryota; Metazoa; Chordata; Mammalia; Artiodactyla; Bovidae. The record is from RNAcentral.
CGUAUAACAUUUUGCUCCACUGAUGGUUGUUUUUAGAAGUUGUUGUUUAAGACAAAGACUCUGCUCAAGCAUGGUGGAUCUGUUAUGACAGUCAAACUUAAUGAAGUCCUUUGGCCUCAUCACUUAUUAUGAGUUCUACUCUUUGGUGAUAUUAUCACUCCUAAACUGCUUGUGUGUGACCUAUGGACAGAAUGCAAGCAUUCUUGACCUGGAUAUUGUCAUCUUUACAGGUUUUGGAAACUGGAAAAACCCUUCAGGAGCCCCGGACACAAGGUCCGAGAAGGAUGAACAGUAACUUUGUCUUGAAGCUGGCCUCUCCCGUGUGGUGUGGCUGUCCUUGAACCCUUCUCACCAAAGGCCUCUGGAAGAGAAAUGGCCGAGUCCACACAAAGGUGUCAAGUGGCUCCAGCUGCAAGGAGAGGAGAAAUACAGUGGCUGGGAACCAGGCACUUGAUGAAAUAGGUCCCUGCAGUAUUGAUUUUGAAUCUCUUUCACCAGUUAGCCAUUUUGAUUGAGGGUAUUGUCUGACACUGGGAUAGAAGGAAGUCAAAACUUGCCUUGAAUUUUAUUCCUCAGAUUCCCAGGGAGGGGGAAAAAUACCUUCACAUAGGUAAUAUAAAAAUAGCUAUGUUCCAAGGGAAUCUGAAAGAAAUAUUCAGAGAUUGCUGAAAACCAUAUAAUUUUGUAGUUGUACAAGCAGAGAUGACUUUUCUUCUUUAUUCAUUUUAAGAACAGUUUAAAUUGGUUUGUACAUAAUAAAAAUUUAGCCUUUCAUCA